RNAcentral lists this ribosomal RNA (574 nucleotides) under uncultured fungus. RNAcentral's name for it is "eukaryotic LSU rRNA". The stretch from base 216 to 369 matches the Rfam family "5.8S ribosomal RNA". The record is from RNAcentral. Lineage: Eukaryota; Fungi.
CGUACAGGUCUCCGUUGGUGAACCAGCGGAGGGAUCAUUACUGAGUUACCGCUCUAUAACCCUUUGUGAACAUACCUAACUGUUGCUUCGGCGGGCAGGGGGUGCCGCCUGCGGACCCCCCUCCCGGCCCUGCCCUCACGGGCGGAGCGCCCGCCGGAGGAUACCAAACUCUAUUUUAACGACGUUUCUUCUGAGUGGCACAAGCAAAUAAUUAAAACUUUCAACAACGGAUCUCUUGGUUCUGGCAUCGAUGAAGAACGCAGCGAAAUGCGAUAAGUAAUGUGAAUUGCAGAAUUCAGUGAAUCAUCGAAUCUUUGAACGCACAUUGCGCCCGCCAGCAUUCUGGCGGGCAUGCCUGUUCGAGCGUCAUUUCAACCCUCAAGCUCUGCUUGGUGUUGGGGCCCUACGGUUGACGUAGGCCCUUAAAGGUAGUGGCGGACCCUCUCGGAGCCUCCUUUGCGUAGUAACUAACGUCUCGCACUGGGAUUCGGAGGGACUCUUGCCGUAAAACCCCCAAAUUUUUAAAGGUUGACCUCGGAUCAGGUAGGAAUACCCGCUGAACUUAAGCAUAUCA